Non-coding RNA from Crucibulum laeve, 116 nucleotides. The record is from the annotation of a GenBank genome assembly. NCBI's taxonomy places the organism in Eukaryota, Fungi, Basidiomycota, Agaricomycetes, Agaricales, Nidulariaceae.
GCCUUCUUGGCUCAGCUGGUUAGAGCGCAGGUCUCAUAGCUUCCUACAGCUGUGCGUGAGCAUUUGAGUGGGCUCAUUUAAUCCUGAGGUCGUCAGUUCGAUCCUGACAGAGGGCA